GAGUAACUGCUUGUCCCUUGACGGUAUCUAACCAGAAAGCCACGGCUAACUACGUGCCAGCAGCCGCGGUAAUACGUAGGUGGCAAGCGUUGUCCGGAUUUAUUGGGCGUAAAGCGCGCGCAGGCGGGCUUUUAAGACUGAUGUGAAAGCCCCCGGCUUAACCGGGGAGGGUCAUUGGAAACUGGAAGACUGGAGUGCAGAAGAGGAGAGGGGAAUUCCACGUGUAGCGGUGAAAUGCGUAGAUAUGUGGAGGAA
Molecule: ribosomal RNA, 255 nt
Filed under: Listeria monocytogenes
Lineage: Bacteria; Bacillati; Bacillota; Bacilli; Caryophanales; Listeriaceae
Description: partial 16S ribosomal RNA
Rfam family: Bacterial small subunit ribosomal RNA
Source: RNAcentral